UGGGGGAUAUUGCACAAUGGGGGAAACCCUGAUGCAGCGACGCCGCGUGAGGGAAGAAGGUUUUCGGAUUGUAAACCUCUGUCUUCGGUGACGAAACAAGACGGUAGCCGAGGAGGAAGCCACGGCUAACUACGUGCCAGCAGCCGCGGUAAUACGUAGGGGGGCAAGCGUUAUCCGGAUUUACUGGGUGUAAAGGGAGCGUAGACGGAUGUGCAAGUCUGAAGUGAAAGCCCGGGGCUCAACCCCGGGACUGCUUUGGAAACUGUGUAUCUAGAGUGCCGGAGAGGUAAGCGGAAUUCCCAGUGUAGCGGUGAAAUGCGUAGAUAUUGGGAGGAACACCAGUGGCGAAGGCGGCUUACUGGACGGUAACUGACGUUGAGGCUCGAAAGCGUGGGGAGCAAACAGGAUUAGAUACC
RNAcentral lists this ribosomal RNA (416 nucleotides) under uncultured bacterium. RNAcentral describes it as "bacterial SSU rRNA". It matches the Rfam family "Bacterial small subunit ribosomal RNA", at positions 355 to 786 of the family's 1533-position model. The record is from RNAcentral.